Molecule: long non-coding RNA, 1262 nt
Organism: Malus domestica (apple)
Lineage: Eukaryota; Viridiplantae; Streptophyta; Magnoliopsida; Rosales; Rosaceae
Source: RefSeq, a predicted model, not a curated record
UUCACUCACUCUAAUCGGUUAUAUAAUUGGGUACUCAUUGUCCUCUCCAUUCACCCAUAUUUUCUUAGUUAUCUCAAUUUUCUUUCAUCCCAGCUCAAGUUUUUCAAUCCAAUCUUAUCCCAUCACAACUUUGCUCAUCACGAUGAGAGCAUCGAUGUGACUCGACUUCGUGGGAGAAAUCCAGUUCUGCUGCUAAUUUGAAUCUUAACCAUGUAAAUCGUGAGGGCAGAGUUGAUGAGCUCAUCCUUUUGUCAUCAAUGUCACUUGUCACCUCACUGCCCCUUAGUUCACACACAAGCUCUUAACCCUAGCAGCAUGAGUCUUCCUCAUUGUCAUCACCAUCACCGCGGCGCCUCUUGCCUAGUUCUGCUCCCAGAGGCUAGCGAUUUCUGCGAGGCACUUGCACAUAGGGUAUGCAUCCAUACCAUCAUUUGACAUUGAUCCGGUCCAGUGAUGCCUAACUUAUCACUUGCAGAAGCAGCAAGCCUCCUCUUCUAUUGGUGAUCUUGGUCAUGAGGUUUUGAGAACCAACAUAUCAAGAUGUUGUUCAAGUUUAACUGGAUAAAAAUGGCGUUGGCUCUCGGCUGGUAAUUUGGAGUCACAAGACUUAAAGCGUUCAAAGUUUGUGGUUUAUCUCAUUACGUGGAUCACGAAAAGAGAAGGGCCCUGCUGAUGCUGCUGGUGAUCUGUUUGGAAUAACUGGAUUAAUGUCAAACACGGCAUGGAUGAGGACUCUACGUGAUAAGAUCCCCAUCGGAUUCAAUAACCUAUGGUUUAGACGUUAGACCAAGCUGGCAGUUUGGAGCGGAACUAGGCAUGCAAGAGAGGUCACGGUGAUGGUUAUGGCAAUGAGAGGAAGACUCAUGCUGCUAGUGCUAGGUUAACAAUGUGUUGUGUGUGUUUCCUAACAGGCAGUAUGGUGAGAAGGUGCAAUGAUGACAAAGGGGUGAGUCCAUCAACCCAGUGCCCGCAUCAUGACUUAUCUGAUCGAUUAAGAUUCAAAGAAGAGAAGAACUGGAAUUUCUCACAGGAAGUGGAGUCCCAUCAAUGGUGUCAUCGUGGUGAUGGGUGUCAAAAAAAAAAAAAAAAAUUUGUGAUGGGAUAAAACUAGAUUAAGAAACUUAAGAAGUUGGUUGAUGAGAGAAAAUUGAGAUAAUUGAGGAAGUAUGGGUGUAUCGGGAGGAAAAUGAGUACUCAAUUAUGUUUGGAUAUUGUGAUUUUAAUUAUGAUUUUAAUUAAAAAGUAGUUAUACUUAUUGAAUA